RNAcentral lists this ribosomal RNA (216 nucleotides) under Glomeromycotina sp. RNAcentral's name for it is "partial small subunit ribosomal RNA". The stretch from base 44 to 216 matches the Rfam family "Eukaryotic small subunit ribosomal RNA", at positions 690 to 864 of the family's 1831-position model. Lineage: Eukaryota; Fungi; Glomeromycota. The record is from RNAcentral.
GGGUCAGUAGGUUGGUAGUGCCACCGGUACGUACUGGUCUCACUGAUUCCUCCUUCCUGAAGAACCGUAAUGCCAUUAAUUUGGUGUUGCGGGGAAACAGGACUGUUACUUUGAAAAAAUUAGAGUGUCUAAAGCAAGCUAACGCUUGAAUACAUUAGCAUGGAAUAAUGAAACAGGACGAUCGAUCCUAUUUUGUUGGUUUCUAGGAUUGACGUA